UAAGGAGCUUGCUCCUUUGACGUUAGCGGCGGACGGGUGAGUAACACGUGGGUAACCUACCUAUAAGACUGGAAUAACUCCGGGAAACCGGGGCUAAUGCCGGAUAACAUGUUGAACCGCAUGGUUCUACAGUGAAAGACGGUCUUGCUGUCACUUAUAGAUGGACCCGCGCCGUAUUAGCUAGUUGGUGGGGUAACGGCCUACCAAGGCGACGAUACGUAGCCGACCUGAGAGGGUGAUCGGCCACACUGGAACUGAGACACGGUCCAGACUCCUACGGGAGGCAGCAGUAGGGAAUCUUCCGCAAUGGGCGAAAGCCUGACGGAGCAACGCCGCGUGAGUGAUGAAGGUCUUCGGAUCGUAAAGCUCUGUUGUUAGGGAAGAACAAAUGUGUAAGUAACUGUGCACAUCUUGACGGUACCUAACCAGAAAGCCACGGCUAACUACGUGCCAGCAGCCGCGGUAAUACGUAGGUGGCAAGCGUUAUCCGGAAUUAUUGGGCGUAAAGCGCGCGUAGGCGGUUUUUUAAGUCUGAUGUGAAAGCCCACGGCUCAACCGUGGAGGGUCAUUGGAAACUGGA
This 580-nucleotide ribosomal RNA is filed under the name Staphylococcus intermedius. Its description in RNAcentral is "bacterial SSU rRNA". It matches the Rfam family "Bacterial small subunit ribosomal RNA", at positions 72 to 637 of the family's 1533-position model. Lineage: Bacteria; Bacillati; Bacillota; Bacilli; Caryophanales; Staphylococcaceae. The record is from RNAcentral.